This 497-nucleotide ribosomal RNA is filed under the name uncultured bacterium. RNAcentral describes it as "partial 16S ribosomal RNA". It matches the Rfam family "Bacterial small subunit ribosomal RNA", at positions 28 to 507 of the family's 1533-position model. The record is from RNAcentral.
GAUGAACGCUGGCGGCGUGCCUAAUACAUGCAAGUCGAGCGAACAGAUGAGGAGCUUGCUCCUCUGACGUUAGCGGCGGACGGGUGAGUAACACGUGGAUAACCUACCUAUAAGACUGGGAUAACUUCGGGAAACCGGAGCUAAUACCGGAUAAUAUAUUGAACCGCAUGGUUCAAUAGUGAAAGACGGUUUUGCUGUCACUUAUAGAUGGAUCCGCGCCGCAUUAGCUAGUUGGUAAGGUAACGGCUUACCAAGGCAACGAUGCGUAGCCGACCUGAGAGGGUGAUCGGCCACACUGGAACUGAGACACGGUCCAGACUCCUACGGGAGGCAGCAGUAGGGAAUCUUCCGCAAUGGGCGAAAGCCUGACGGAGCAACGCCGCGUGAGUGAUGAAGGUCUUCGGAUCGUAAAACUCUGUUAUUGGGGAAGAAAAAAUGUGUAAGUAACUAUGCACGUCUUGACGGUACCUAAUCAGAAAGCCACGGCUAACUACGUG